RNAcentral lists this non-coding RNA (98 nucleotides) under uncultured Ferdinandcohnia sp. Lineage: Bacteria; Bacillati; Bacillota; Bacilli; Caryophanales; Bacillaceae. The record is from RNAcentral.
UAUGAGUAGGGGAGCUCACACAUGUGGGCUGAGAGUAAGCGAAAUGUAGCUUUGACCCUUUACCUGAUUUGGAUAAUGCCAACGUAGGGAAUGAAUGU